This 252-nucleotide ribosomal RNA is filed under the name uncultured bacterium. RNAcentral's name for it is "partial 16S ribosomal RNA". It matches the Rfam family "Bacterial small subunit ribosomal RNA", at positions 524 to 776 of the family's 1533-position model. The record is from RNAcentral.
UACAGAGGUGCCAAGCGUUAGGCGGAAUCACUGGGCUUAAAGCGCGUGUAGGCGGGUCGUUAAGUGUCUUGUGAAAUCCCACGGCUCAACCGUGGAACUGCUGGGCAUACUGACGAUCUUGAGGCACUCAGGGGCUGUCGGAACAAAUGGUGGAGCGGUGAAAUGCGUAGAUAUCAUUUGGAACGCCAACGGUGAAACAGACAGCUGGGGGUGUCCUGACGCUGAGACGCGAAAGCCAGGGGAGCGAACGGG